Molecule: long non-coding RNA, 734 nt
Organism: Xenia sp. Carnegie-2017
Lineage: Eukaryota; Metazoa; Cnidaria; Anthozoa; Malacalcyonacea; Xeniidae
Exons: 3
Source: RefSeq, a predicted model, not a curated record
UGAUGGAACGGUGGAGCAAAUGGAAGAACUUCUUGAACAGUUUCAGCACCGCCAGUGUUUGAAAGCAAGAAGGGAAAUAUUCCAAUUGAGUUUUUUGCAAAUCCGUUUUUGAUUGUGGGCAACGAAACAAGACAUUGUUUACUUGGGAGAGCGAAAGACAGCAGAGGCACUCGCAGACACGACGUAAAAAGUGACCAUGAUUAUGAAGAAAAGGGACGGAUUCGCUUACAGAACAGUAGAAAACUGGAUUGCCCAGCACAAGUGCAAAUAAGACAAGUCAGAAUAUUUCUCGACUACUACAUCGAUCGAGAACAAUUUACAUCAGAAAACAGCUUGGUUAUAGCAAAACGGAGAGUAUUUAGAGAGAUUAAGGAAAAAAUGGAUAGCGAUUCCUCCUCACAGCUUCGCGCCAGCAGUCGUUUUUACCUAAAAAUACCUCUUAGUAGUGCUCAUUCAUGUCACGCCAUUGGUGCCACGGCAACAGUUGGGCGGCGAAUGGAUUACCGACUGGUCACGAAAGUUUAUAGUUUGGUAAAACGCAAUGCAAUCAAAAUCUCAGAAGUCAAAAGGUGUCUUGAUCAAUACGUUGAAGAGACUUUAUUUCCACAAGACGGAUAAAAAGCUAUACCGCGCAAGACAAAUAAACGGUACUAUCCAAAUAAAAAGGAUAUUCGCAACCACUUAGUAAAGGCAAUAGAGUCCCUUAAGGACUGCAAAGACGAUCAAGAGUCCUU